GACGGAGGAUGCAAGCGUUAUCCGGAAUUAUUGGGCGUAAAGCGUCCGCAGGUGGAUUUACAAGUCUGCUGUCAAAGUGCAGAGCUUAACUCUGUAAAGGCGGUGGAAACUGUAAGUCUUGAGUAUGGUAGGGGUAGAGGGAAUUCCCGGUGUAGCGGUGAAAUGCGUAGAUAUCGGGAAGAACACCAGUGGCGAAAGCGCUCUACUGGGCCAUAACCGACACUGAGGGACGAAAGCUAGGGGAGCGAAAGGG
This 253-nucleotide ribosomal RNA is filed under the name uncultured bacterium. RNAcentral describes it as "partial 16S ribosomal RNA". It matches the Rfam family "Bacterial small subunit ribosomal RNA", at positions 524 to 776 of the family's 1533-position model. The record is from RNAcentral.